AUGACAAAUAUUUCAAUUCCUGGUAAUUGGCAGACAUGUGAUGUUGAAGCAAUGGAUGGUGACUUCGAUGAUAACAUGCUUCAAUUCUUGGGAUCUUUUGAAGAAGUUCUUCCGGAAGGUGUUGAGGUUGAGACUAAAAAAGGAAUGAAGAAAAAGAACAAACCGAAAAAGGUUGAAAACACUGAACGCCCAGAAGAAGAUGCGAAGUGUGUAGAGGAGCGACGUCUAGCCAAAAAAUUGAGAAGAAAAGAACAAAUGGCUGCAAAUCGUAAACAGAAGAAGGAACGGUUGGCAAAAAGAAAACAGAAAGAAGCUGAGAGUUCUGCUAAAAAAUCUGAAAAUGCGACAGAAACUACUACCGAAAAGCCGAAAGAGCAGAAGAAAAGAAAAGGAGGAGAGAAUGGAGAUACAGGAAAACCAAAGAAAUCCAAAAAAGAAGCAUCUAAGAAAACAGAUAUUUCAGCUUGGAAACAAUUUUAUUUUCUUCCUAAUGAAGUUCUUGAAGCUAUUGAGCAGAUGGGGUGAGCACAAUUUACCAUUAAUUUGUUUAGAUUUUCACAAUGUUAAUUUUUUUUUUCAGAUUUUCUGAGCCGACUGAAAUUCAAUCAGCAGUGCUCCCCGCUGCUGUUCGUGAUCGACAAGAUGUUCUAGGUGCUGCUGAAACUGGAAGUGGAAAGACAUUGGCAUUUGGAAUUCCAUUGGUUGCACGUCUACUCGAAUCGUCAGAUGAUUCACAAGAAACUGAAUCUACAGAAGUUCGAGGUCCACGUGCAUUGAUUGUUGCUCCAACUCGUGAACUUGUCAUUCAAAUCAUGAAACAUAUUAAUGCUCUCAUUUCCACAACUCAACUAAUAGCCACAUCAAUUGUUGGUGGAUUGGCUCAAGUGAAGCAAGAGAGAAUUAUUUCCCAGCAGAGACCAGAUAUUGUCGUUGCAACACCUGGACGAUUGUGGGCCAUGAUGCAAGAAGCUGAAACUGGAGAGUUUUUAGCUGAAUGGAAAGAUUUGAAGUGUUUAGUUGUGGACGAAACUGAUCGGAUGGUUGAGGAAGGAUAUUUUGCCGAGUUGACACAUAUUCUCAAUAAGAUUCAUGAAGAAUCAGAAAAGGAAAAGCUUCAAACUCUCGUCUUCUCUGCGACACUUACAUUUGCAAAAGCACAAGAUGUAGCCGAAGAAGAAAAGAAAAAAGCGAAAGAGCUCAGUUCACAGCAAAAAAUUCAACGUCUUAUCAAACUGACGGGUCUUCGUGAGAAUAAGCAUAAAGUUAUUGAUUUAACACGUCAAAUGGGUACAGCUGGAUGCCUUGUUGAAGCACGUAUCAAUUGUGGAAAUCUUUUGGAAAAGGAUACUUCACUCGUAUACCUACUCACAAGAUACCCUGGACGUACAAUUGUCUUUGUGAAUUCAAUUGAUGCAGCUCGUAGACUAUACAGUGUACUUAAAUCAGUGAACAUUGAUCCAAUGAUUCUUCAUGCGAAAAUGAUUCAAAAACAACGUCUGAAGAACUUGGAAAAGUUUUCUGAAUCCAAAAACGCCGUUUUAUUGGCAACUGAUGUCGCAGCACGUGGAUUGGAUAUUCAAGGAAUCGAUCAUGUUAUCCAUUAUCAAGUUCCCAAAAAAGUAGAAAUUUAUAUUCAUCGAAGUGGAAGAACUGCACGUGCAUCACACAGAGGAUUGACUGUUGUAUUGGUUGAUCCACCAAGUAGACAAUUUUAUAUGAAGUUGUGCAAAGGAUUAAAUAGAAUGCAAGAUCUGAACGUUUUCCCAAUCGACUUUGAACCUUUGAUGAAUGCGAUCAAGAAACGUGUGCGACUAGCUUCAGAGAUUGACUCUCUUGGAUUCCGUUGCAAAAAGAUCAAAAUGUCAGAGUCUUGGUUUGAAAAAGCUGCCCGUGCCGCAGAUUUAGACUAUGAUGAGACGCGUCAUCGAGAAAUGGAUGGAUUGAAUCUUGAAGUUGACACAAUGGUCCAGAAAAGUCGCCAACUUCAAGCACAACUACGCACGGAGCUUUCCCUUCCACUUCCACGUGUUGAUGGAUCGGAUUCGAUGAAGACAAAGUACAUUACUCCUGAAAUUGUUGCCCGUUUGAGAUCAGUUGGUGAUAAUGCAAUUGACGUAUUAAACCAGAAAAUUGAUGAGACAAAGGAAUGGAAGAGAAAGAGCCGAAAAGCUACAAGAGAAGAUGAAAUGAACUCGAUGAAAAAAUCGUUGAAAUCGUCUCAAAAGAACAAGGAACGCCUCGCCGAGAAGAAAAAAAAGGAGAAAGCUGCCAAAGUGACUAAACUAUCGGAAACUGAUUGA
RNAcentral lists this unclassified non-coding RNA (2300 nucleotides) under Caenorhabditis elegans. RNAcentral's name for it is "Non-coding transcript of protein-coding gene F55F8.2b". Lineage: Eukaryota; Metazoa; Nematoda; Chromadorea; Rhabditida; Rhabditidae. The record is from RNAcentral.